GAUGAACGCUGGCGGCGUGCCUAAUACAUGCAAGUCGAGCGAACAGAUGAGGAGCUUGCUCCUCUGACGUUAGCGGCGGACGGGUGAGUAACACGUGGAUAACCUACCUAUAAGACUGGGAUAACUUCGGGAAACCGGAGCUAAUACCGGAUAAUAUAUUGAACCGCAUGGUUCAAUAGUGAAAGACGGUUUUGCUGUCCUUUAUAGAUGGAUCCGCGCCGCAUUAGCUAGUUGGUAAGGUAACGGCUUACCAAGGCAACGAUGCGUAGCCGACCUGAGAGGGUGAUCGGCCACACUGGAACUGAGACACGGUCCAGACUCCUACGGGAGGCAGCAGUAGGGAAUCUUCCGCAAUGGGCGAAAGCCUGACGGAGCAACGCCGCGUGAGUGAUGAAGGUCUUCGAAUCGUAAAACUCUGUUAUUAGGGAAGAACAAAUGUGUAAGUAACUAUGCACGUCUUGACGGUACCUAAUCAGAAAGCCACGGCUAACUACGUG
RNAcentral lists this ribosomal RNA (497 nucleotides) under uncultured bacterium. RNAcentral describes it as "partial 16S ribosomal RNA". It matches the Rfam family "Bacterial small subunit ribosomal RNA", at positions 28 to 507 of the family's 1533-position model. The record is from RNAcentral.